UCCCUGGUGGUCCAGUGGCUAAGACUCUGUACUCCCAGUGCAGGGGGCCUGGGUUCAAUCCCUAGUCAAGGAA
This 73-nucleotide transfer RNA is filed under the name Bos taurus (domestic cattle). It matches the Rfam family "tRNA". From Rfam's summary of the family: Transfer RNA (tRNA) molecules are approximately 80 nucleotides in length. Their secondary structure includes four short double-helical elements and three loops (D, anti-codon, and T loops). Further hydrogen bonds mediate the characteristic L-shaped molecular structure. tRNAs have two regions of fundamental functional importance: the anti-codon, which is responsible for specific mRNA codon recognition, and the 3' end, to which the tRNAs corresponding amino acid is attached (by aminoacyl-tRNA synthetases). tRNAs cope with the degeneracy of the genetic code in two manners: having more than one tRNA (with a specific anti-codon) for a particular amino acid; and 'wobble' base-pairing, i.e. permitting non-standard base-pairing at the 3rd anti-codon position. Lineage: Eukaryota; Metazoa; Chordata; Mammalia; Artiodactyla; Bovidae. RNAcentral also lists the same sequence under 3 other names. The record is from Rfam by way of RNAcentral.